This 77-nucleotide transfer RNA is filed under the name Aeromonas phage 25. RNAcentral's name for it is "tRNA-Met". It matches the Rfam family "tRNA". Rfam says of the family: Transfer RNA (tRNA) molecules are approximately 80 nucleotides in length. Their secondary structure includes four short double-helical elements and three loops (D, anti-codon, and T loops). The record is from RNAcentral. Lineage: Duplodnaviria; Heunggongvirae; Uroviricota; Caudoviricetes; Pantevenvirales; Straboviridae.
UGCGACGUAGAGGAGAGGUCGUCCUCGUCGGGCUCAUAUCCCGAAAAUCAACGGUUCGAAUCCGUUCGUCGCAUCCA